UGUCAGACCAUAAAAUGAGUUCAGCCACAAUUAAAACCAAAGCAAACAAUGAUGUUUGACAUAAGCAGCAGAAGAGCAGAAAGGUUAAGUUAGCAACCAACAACCAGGAGCAAAUUUGUAACAAUUAGCAUAACAUCCAGCAGCGUUAGCAUGGCAGCCAUAUUGACAAGCACACAGACAGCUAUUAUCACAGCUAGCUACUCAGUGGAGACAAGUUACUAACUCACAAUACACGUGUUAGCAAUGGUAGAAAAUGCAUACCUGUUUGAAGUGAAGCUCUGAUAGUCUCCGGUGCAUCUUGUUGUGGUCCAAAGCUCCCACAGAAGGACAGGUAAACUACUUUCAGGUUAAAGUGCCAACGGCUAUUAACUGCCGCCGAAAGGAGUCGCUACAGCCCCCAUGAGUGCCGCAAAACCAAGUUAGUCACUCCAUAAAGUCGUCCAGAUGCCGCUGUUUGCAGACAUGCAUUUUACAGCCCACCACCUUUUACGUAAACAUCUGACUCUUGAAUUCAACAUCUGCUCUGGGUUCAGCCUGACAGAUCCAGAAGCUGUUUCGAGUAUCUUCUGCAAAACAUCUGCCUGUAGGUAAAACAUGCACAAAAUACACGUUUUCAGGUUUUAUUGUGUUUUCACCAGAUUGGUAUCAGAGCCAUGACACACACAGAGCACCCAUAUCAUAUAUUUACCCAUAACAGUCUGUGUACCCAUUUGGAAUCUGUUAAGCCUGCCAGAGCCAGAUAAAAACCUGUUUUAAUGCCAUACACGGCUAAGAAGGUGUUCUCAAGCAUGCUGAUCAUGUACCAACACUGCAAGAUCUGUCUGACUUACAUCAGAAGUGAAUUUCACUUGUUUGGGUGCAGCACUUAAUUUGUCUGUAACGUCAUUAAACCUGUUUACAAGGCAAA
This is a long non-coding RNA of Micropterus salmoides (largemouth bass), 907 nucleotides long. RefSeq lists it as uncharacterized. The transcript is spliced from 3 exons. The record is from RefSeq and is a predicted model, not a curated record. NCBI's taxonomy places the organism in Eukaryota, Metazoa, Chordata, Actinopteri, Centrarchiformes, Centrarchidae.